Molecule: unclassified non-coding RNA, 459 nt
Filed under: Hevea brasiliensis (rubber tree)
Lineage: Eukaryota; Viridiplantae; Streptophyta; Magnoliopsida; Malpighiales; Euphorbiaceae
Source: RNAcentral
CAGGUUUACUGAUCUUGUAAAUCAAUGUUUAUAUUUUUAUUCCUGUUCUUCUAGGGCCGGGGGUAGCAUCUUCAGGCAUUAUAUCAUGAUCUCUUUUUUGGGUGCUUUUGAUCCGAGUGUAGGCAUGUUUUUUUUGUCCUUGUAUGUUAGUAUUUCCUAGGUUAAAUCAAAUUUCUUCGUGGUGGUGCUUUAUCAUCAUGUACGUGAAUUCAUGAUAAUGGCUAAAUGUGUUUGCAUAUUUUAUACAAUAACACGUGAAUGAUGACUAAUUUAAACGAGUGCAUUAUAUCAAAAUAUGUACAGAAGUUACUUGGUGUAAACAUGAUAUUGGUGUUGCUUAUAAUAGACGCAACCUUUCUUCCUGGAAUGAAUUGCAUUUUAUAAUCAAAAGCUGGUAGAUGUGCUUGAUAAACUUGUUCCUGCUCUAACUCUUCAUCUUAUUUUGCCACAGGAUGUUUA